UACAGAGGUCCCAAGCGUUGUUCGGAUUCACUGGGCGUAAAGGGUGCGUAGGCGGUCGGGUAAGUCUGGUGUGAAAGCUCGGAGCUCAACUCCGAAAUGGCAUUGGAAACUACCUAACUUGAGGUUGGGAAGGGAGACUGGAAUACUUGGUGUAGCAGUGAAAUGCGUAGAUAUCAAGUGGAACAUCAGUGGCGAAGGCGAGUCUCUGGACCAAUCCUGACGCUGAGGCACGAAAGCCAGGGGAGCAAACGGG
This 253-nucleotide ribosomal RNA is filed under the name uncultured bacterium. Its description in RNAcentral is "partial 16S ribosomal RNA". It matches the Rfam family "Bacterial small subunit ribosomal RNA", at positions 524 to 776 of the family's 1533-position model. The record is from RNAcentral.